AGCGACUAAGCGUACACGGUGGAUGCCCUGGCAGUCAGAGGCGAUGAAGGGCGUGCUAAUCUGCGAUAAGCGCCGGUAAGGUGAUAUGAACCGUUAUAACCGGCGAUACCCGAAUGGGGAAACCCAGUGUGACUCGUCACACUAUCAUUAACUGAAUCCAUAGGUUAAUGAGGCGAACCGGGGGAACUGAAACAUCUAAGUACCCCGAGGAAAAGAAAUCAACCGAGAUUCCCCCAGUAGCGGCGAGCGAACGGGGAGGAGCCCAGAGCCUGAAUCAGCAUGUGUGUUAGUGGAAGCGUCUGGAAAGGCGCGCGAUACAGGGUGACAGCCCCGUACACAAAAGCGCAUGUGCUGUGAGCUCGAUGAGUAGGGCGGGACACGUGGUAUCCUGUCUGAAUAUGGGGGGACCAUCCUCCAAGGCUAAAUACUCCUGACUGACCGAUAGUGAACCAGUACCGUGAGGGAAAGGCGAAAAGAACCCCGGCGAGGGGAGUGAAAAAGAACCUGAAACCGUGUACGUACAAGCAGUGGGAGCACAGGUUUACCUGUGUGACUGCGUACCUUUUGUAUAAUGGGUCAGCGACUUAUAUUCUGUAGCAAGGUUAACCGAAUAGGGGAGCCGGAGGGAAACCGAGUCUUAAUUGGGCGUUAAGUUGCAGGGUAUAGACCCGAAACCCGGUGAUCUAGCCAUGGGCAGGUUGAAGGUUGGGUAACACUAACUGGAGGACCGAACCGACUAAUGUUGAAAAAUUAGCGGAUGACCUGUGGCUGGGGGUGAAAGGCCAAUCAAACCGGGAGAUAGCUGGUUCUCCCCGAAAGCUAUUUAGGUAGCGCCUCGUGAAUUCAUCUCCGGGGGUAGAGCACUGUUUCGGCUAGGGGGCCAUCCCGGCUUACCAACCCGAUGCAAACUGCGAAUACCGGAGAAUGUUAUCACGGGAGACACACGGCGGGUGCUAACGUCCGUCGUGAAGAGGGAAACAACCCAGACCGCCAGCUAAGGUCCCAAAGUCAUGGUUAAGUGGGAAACGAUGUGGGAAGGCCCAGACAGCCAGGAUGUUGGCUUAGAAGCAGCCAUCAUUUAAAGAAAGCGUAAUAGCUCACUGGUCGAGUCGGCCUGCGCGGAAGAUGUAACGGGGCUAAACCAUGCACCGAAGCUGCGGCAGCGACACUGUGUGUUGUUGGGUAGGGGAGCGUUCUGUAAGCCUGUGAAGGUGUGUCGUGAGGC
RNAcentral lists this ribosomal RNA (1225 nucleotides) under Salmonella enterica subsp. enterica serovar Enteritidis. Its description in RNAcentral is "partial 23S ribosomal RNA". It matches the Rfam family "Bacterial large subunit ribosomal RNA", at positions 1 to 1269 of the family's 2925-position model. Lineage: Bacteria; Pseudomonadati; Pseudomonadota; Gammaproteobacteria; Enterobacterales; Enterobacteriaceae. The record is from RNAcentral.